GUGCUCGCUUCAGCAGCACAUAGACUAAAAUGAAUGAUACAGAGAUUAGCAUGGCUCCUGCGCAAGGAUGUCAUGCAAAUUUGUGAAGCAUCCUAUAUUUUU
Apodemus sylvaticus (European woodmouse) is the source of this 102-nucleotide small nuclear RNA. The record is from RefSeq and is a predicted model, not a curated record. NCBI's taxonomy places the organism in Eukaryota, Metazoa, Chordata, Mammalia, Rodentia, Muridae.